This 499-nucleotide ribosomal RNA is filed under the name uncultured bacterium. RNAcentral's name for it is "partial 16S ribosomal RNA". It matches the Rfam family "Bacterial small subunit ribosomal RNA", at positions 30 to 523 of the family's 1533-position model. The record is from RNAcentral.
AUUGAACGCUGGCGGAAUGCUUUACACAUGCAAGUCGAACGGCAGCACGGACUUCGGUCUGGUGGCGAGUGGCGAACGGGUGAGUAACAUAUCGGAACGUAUCCAAUAAUGGGGAAUAACCAGUCGAAAGAUUGGCUACUACCGCAUACGCCCUUCGGGGGAAAGCGGGGGUCGCAAGACCUCGCGUCGAUGGAUGAGCCGAAGUCGGAUUAGCUAGUUGGUAGGGUAACGGCCUACCAAGGCGACGAUCCGUAGCUGGUCUGAGAGGACGACCAGCCACACUGGGACUGAGACACGGCCCAGACUCCUACGGGAGGCAGCAGUGGGGAAUAUUGGACAAUGGGGGCAACCCUGAUCCAGCGACGCCGCGUGUGUGAAGAAGGCCUGCGGGUUGUAAAGCACUUUUAGUGGGGAUGAAAAGCACAUUGCUAAUACCAGUGUGUCUUGACCUAACCCAAAGAAAAAGCACCGGCUAACUCUGUGCCAGCAGCCGCCGUAA